AGAGUUUGAUCCUGGCUCAGAUUGAACGCUGGCGGUAUGCUUAACACAUGCAAGUCGAACGGUAACAGGCCUUCGGGCGCUGACGAGUGGCGGACGGGUGAGUAACGCGUAGGAAUCUGCCUUAUAGUGGGGGACAACGUGGGGAAACCCACGCUAAUACCGCAUACGCCCUACGGGGGAAAGGAGGGGAUCUUCGGACCUUUCGCUAUGAGAUGAGCCUGCGUUAGAUUAGCUAGUUGGUAGGGUAAAGGCCUACCAAGGCGACGAUCUAUAGCUGGUCUGAGAGGACGAUCAGCCACACUGGGACUGAGACACGGCCCAGACUCCUACGGGAGGCAGCAGUGGGGAAUAUUGGACAAUGGGCGAAAGCCUGAUCCAGCAAUACCGCGUGUGUGAAGAAGGCCUUAGGGUUGUAAAGCACUUUCAAUUGGGAGGAAAACCUGCCGGUCAAUACCCGGUAGCUUGACAUUACCUUUAGAAGAAGCACCGGCUAACACCGUGCCAGCAGCCGCGGUAAUACGGAGGGUGCGAGCGUUAAUCGGAAUUACUGGGCGUAAAGCGUGCGUAGGUGGUUCGUUAAGUCAGAUGUGAAAGCCCUGGGCUCAACCUGGGAACUGCAUUUGAAACUGGCGGACUAGAGUUUAGUAGAGGGGAGUGGAAUUUCAGGUGUAGCGGUGAAAUGCGUAGAUAUCUAAAGGAACACCAGUGGCGAAGGCGACUCCCUGGACUAAAACUGACGCUGAGGUACGAAAGCGUGGGUAGCAAACAGGAUUAGAUACCCUGGUAGUCCACGCCGUAAACGAUGUCGACUAGCCGUUGGUCCUAUUUA
Molecule: ribosomal RNA, 829 nt
Filed under: uncultured bacterium
Lineage: Bacteria
Description: bacterial SSU rRNA
Rfam family: Bacterial small subunit ribosomal RNA
Source: RNAcentral